AAGGUAGUGUAGUUAACACCUGCAUUAUUUGACGUUACCUACAGAAGAAGCACCGGCUAACUCCGUGCCAGCAGCCGCGGUAAUUACGGAGGGUGCGAGCGUUAAUCGGAAUUACUGGGCGUAAAGCGCAUGCAGGCGGCCUGUUAAGUCAGAUGUGAAAGCCCGGGGCGUUAACCUCGGAAUUGCAUUUGUAAACUGGCAGGCUAGAGUCUUGUAGAGGGGGGUAGGAAUUUCAGGUGUAGCGGUGAAAUGCGUAGAGAUCUGAAGGAAUACCAGUGGCGAAGGCGGCCCCCUGGACAAAGACUGACGCUCAGAUGCGAAAGCGUGGGGAGCAAACAGGAUUAGAUACCCUGGUAG
RNAcentral lists this ribosomal RNA (357 nucleotides) under uncultured bacterium. RNAcentral describes it as "bacterial SSU rRNA". It matches the Rfam family "Bacterial small subunit ribosomal RNA", at positions 441 to 793 of the family's 1533-position model. The record is from RNAcentral.